Tachysurus fulvidraco (yellow catfish) is the source of this 615-nucleotide long non-coding RNA. RefSeq lists it as uncharacterized. The record is from RefSeq and is a predicted model, not a curated record. The transcript is spliced from 3 exons. NCBI's taxonomy places the organism in Eukaryota, Metazoa, Chordata, Actinopteri, Siluriformes, Bagridae.
UAUCAUCAAAAGAUUUGGGAAGAAGCUCAGAACUUUUGCAGAGUGCGUUACACGGACCUGGCCAGUGUGAGGCAUGAGGCUGAACUUCAGAAAAUACUGAGCAUCAUGAACGAGGAUGAGGUAUGGAUAGGUCUGUAUAGGAACCGAUUAUGGUCAGAUCAGAGCAAUUCAACCUUCACAUAUUGGAGACCAGAGAGUCCAGAACCAACAGCAGAGCCUGAUAAUGGUGUGAAUUCACCUGGACAAAUUGGAAGCCAACACUGUACAGCUGUGGAUCAUUCUGGCCAAUGGACAGAUGAAAACUGUUUAGCUAGAUUCCCUUUUAUCUGCUACACUGUUGGCAAUAGCAAUGAAGCUGGACCAGAUAUUAUCGUAACCUAAACCUGUCUUCCUUGUGCUCUGGAAGCAUUCACUCCAGCUUCAGCAAGAAUUGAGCAGACUGGGACUUUCAAGCAACUACACUGUGAUCCUGAGAAACAUUUGUAAGCUCGGUCUAUAAAGGAAAAAAAUACACUCGGGUUUAAAACAUAUCUGAGACAUUUUCUAGAUUUUGUGGUGCUUUAUCUUUUAUUUAAUCAUUGGUUCAGCAACCUUUCUUUUCCAGAGCUGUUGGGA